Molecule: long non-coding RNA, 185 nt
Organism: Sinocyclocheilus rhinocerous
Lineage: Eukaryota; Metazoa; Chordata; Actinopteri; Cypriniformes; Cyprinidae
Exons: 3
Source: RefSeq, a predicted model, not a curated record
UGCUGACCAGCUUCAGUCACAAAGGAGCCAGUGUCCCACAGCACAGAGGAAAACGGUUAUCAGUGAUUGAUGAGUCCUCCUUUCUGUCACACUCUGACAUUAGUUAUGACAGAACGGAUGAUGAUUUGGACUUGGACAACACUGCGUUUGUUAAGCCUCUCAAGUCAAGAGCUCGUGAGAGAAGA